Molecule: RNA transcript, 2318 nt
Organism: Manis pentadactyla (Chinese pangolin)
Lineage: Eukaryota; Metazoa; Chordata; Mammalia; Pholidota; Manidae
Exons: 2
Source: RefSeq, a predicted model, not a curated record
GCCGGGCGGGGGCGAGGGGCGGGGCCGGCGCCAGGGGCGGAGUCCGGCCUCACCUGGAUCACCUUCUUAAAGGGACAGGGCAGGAAGGAAACUUGUUAGACAGGUAGUAAACUUCUUGACAGGAAUGAGACUGCGGGCGCCGCCUAGUGGGUGGGUUUGGAAAUUGACUAACCCAGUCCUAAUUCUAAUCCUAAACCCGGCCCAGCCCAGUCUUGUUUCAGCCUUUAUCCUAAUUCUCCCUCAGAUUAGAGCUACACCCUUGUAUUCCUCUCCCUUUCUUCAGGGCCUAGCACUGUAAUAGACACCGGCGGAGGAAGGGUUUAUGCUUCCGUAGGGGAGGCUUAGAUGACGAUAGUGUAGGAUGGGCUGCAACUCUUAGAGAAGCACCUGGACGGUUGAAAGAGGAAGCAAGCUCAGUCUGUGGGGCACCGGGGGGUGGGGGUGAGUCUUCAGGGAGUGAGCUGGGUUUUCAGUGGCAGAGAUUGGGAAAGGCAUAAGCAAGGGCCUGAAGGCAGGGAGCCUCAAGGUGCACUCUGGGAGUGGUGAAUGGACCAGUUUGACUGCUGGGGCACAGGAUUUGUCUUGGGAGCCAGGCAGAAAGGCAAGUGUGGGCCAGAGUAGGGAAGCUCUUGGUAAACAUGUUAAGGAGUUUGCACCUUAAUGUGCACUGACAGAGCAGACAUGAGGAAUCUGUGGGCGGUUUUGAGCACAAGUGGUAGAGAAGGCACAGAUCCUGGUGUCAGCCCAUGGCCUUCCCACCCUCUUGGACACUACCUUACGUUACAUUUAGGUUACUUGGAAGAUAGAUUUGGGAAAAUCAAGGGGAAAGUGUGCCAAGGGAAGGAGGAGAUCGACUAGCAUCAGCCCCUGAAAUAAAAGGGAUGUUUGGCUGAAGCUUGGAUUUCAAGAAGAGUCGAGACAAAAAUAAAGAAAGAGCUAAGAGAAAUCACUCUUGUUAUCGAGAUUAUGAGGUAUUCACAUAAUAAAUGCCACAGUAACACCUUCAGGUCAUAUUGCAAUUCUCUCUGCAUUUCUGUGUUUCUUUUUGUUCUGUUUUUUGUUGUUUUUAAAUUGUGUCUCUGUCUGCAAUAUUAAAAUAGUCCAAAGCAUUCUGUUUGUUUUACGGGCAAGAAGGUAGUGGAGCAGCUCUGAGCCUGCCUUGCAUUCUAGGAUGGGCCUCAGAGAAGAGGCAACUCAAGUUGAAGAAUGGAUAGUAGCAGCCACAAAGAAGGGAUGGAAUUGUUUCUGGCACUGAUGGGAGAGACAGAGGGGUGAAAUGAGAAUCCCCCUGGGGUCAUGCGUUAUGUCUAAGUGUGAAUGUAGGUACGAACUACCACAGCACCUUCUUGACUCCCAUUCUUAACUGAUCUUGCUCCCAAGUAGAAAUACAAGUUCACAAUCAUCCUAUUAUUUCAUUUGAUUUCCAGAAUGGUGACAUGGAAAUGUCAGGGAUCAGUCACCUGAUGUGGCCAUGACUCAGAAUUCCUUCUACUAAUAUUUGUGCGUGUCUCCUGAGAAAUCACUGUAUUUCCACCUUAACUUGUCUGCUUGACUGCCUGAAAAGAUAGUGUUGCUAACCGGCGACAUUUAUAUGGCUGCAAUAAUGUUGGGCAGGUAAAGGGAGGGAGAAGAAGGAGAGAACAAAUGUGUCUCAGUGAACUUGGGCACAUCAGAAACUUAACAAGUUGAGACAAGCGUUAAACACCAGAAUCCCUUGGGGUGAAGAGCGAUGCUUGGUGCUUGGUCCUUGUGAAAACGUUUACCGGUUAGACCACAGGAAGAGAAGAGAAAGUAGUAAACUAGCUAUUUUUUUUUAAUAGUACUGUCUAAAAUUGAAACAUGGAAUUAAAAGGAGCAUAAUAAUUUCCACCUCUUAAUGUUUUUCAAUAACUUUUAAGUUUAGAGGCAACUUAUAGGAAUUAAUAUCUCAUGGUAAAAUAAGUUUUGUUUCAGCUUCAGCAGUCACUCCAGUUUCAUUUCAGCUUUUUGAAUGUUAAAUGCAAGUAUCAUAUAAUUUUACCUUUAGAAUUAAAAUACUAGAUGUGCCUUCUGAUUGAUGUCUAUCUUUUCACCCAUAUAUUCACCUGGAAAAAUGUCUGGAGUAGAGUUCUGAAUGGUAAUAAUAGUUAUUUUAGGGUGAUGGAAUUUGGGGUGAUGUUUUAUAUUCCUUGGCAUUUACUGAAUUUGAGAUUUUUAAAAAAAAGGGCAUAUCUCUUUUUACCAAAAGCAUUGAAGACAUUUUUAAAAAUACUGGCAUUAUUACAAAAGUAAAAAAUUCUGAUUAUGUUGUCAGUACUGUUGUUGCUACUAUCACUUGC